This 588-nucleotide long non-coding RNA is filed under the name Cricetulus griseus (Chinese hamster). RNAcentral describes it as "lncRNA (ENSCGRG00015030223.1)". Lineage: Eukaryota; Metazoa; Chordata; Mammalia; Rodentia; Cricetidae. The record is from RNAcentral.
UCCUUGCCUUCCUCCUUUCCUCCCUCCCUCCUUCCUUCCAUCCCUCCUCUUUGAUUACUUUUGGACAGUCUUUCCAUGCAGGUCAGGCUGGCCUUGAACAGUCUUGGGGGGCAGGGGGUAGUCUCCAAGGGCUAGGAUUACAGUCAUGCUACCACACCCAGUUCUACGUGUUUAUCUCAGAGUCGUCUGCAGCUCUGCUAACAUGACACCACUACAGAGUCGUCCGCUGCGUGUGAAGUGGGACUCUGCACUGUGUGCAAGAACCUGGAUUGUGAGCAUCAGGACUCAGGGCAGAAGAGAAUUGCAAGUAAAGAGUGAGAUGCCAGAAACCAUCCGGCCACUUUCAUCCAAUCACUUCCCACCACUUGCUCAUCGAGGUGGUGUGUGCUCCCAGACAGCCACCUGCUCAACUUUCCACUGCGUGGAAUCCCAGCUCCUUAAUCAAAACGAAACAAAAGCUUUUACAACAACAUCCAAGGAAAUUUGCCACCUGACAUCAAGGUUCUAAGCAGGCAUAGGAGUGAAGACACUCUUGGCUGUGCAAGUGAUACCCAGGCCAGGCUGCCCCAGCUUCUGCUGUGCCAAAUC